Molecule: ribosomal RNA, 468 nt
Filed under: uncultured bacterium
Lineage: Bacteria
Description: partial 16S ribosomal RNA
Rfam family: Bacterial small subunit ribosomal RNA
Source: RNAcentral
GACGAACGCUGGCGGCGUGCUUAACACAUGCAAGUCGAACGGAAAGGCCCUGCGUUUGUGGGGUGCUCGAGUGGCGAACGGGUGAGUAACACGUGAGUAACCUGCCCUUGACUUUGGGAUAACUUCAGGAAACUGGGGCUAAUACCGGAUAGGAGCUCCUGCUGCAUGGUGGGGGUUGGAAAGUUUCGGCGGUUGGGGAUGGACUCGCGGCUUAUCAGCUUGUUGGUGGGGUAGUGGCUUACCAAGGCUUUGACGGGUAGCCGGCCUGGGAGGGUGACCGGCCACAUUGGGACUGAGAGACGGCCCAGACUCCUACGGGAGGCAGCAGUGGGGAAUAUUGCACAAUGGGCGGAAGCCUGAUGCAGCAACGCCGCGUGCGGGAUGACGGCCUUCGGGUUGUAAACCGCUUUCGCCUGUGACGAAGCGUGAGUGACGGUAAUGGGUAAAGAAGCACCGGCUAACUACGUG